RNAcentral lists this long non-coding RNA (1255 nucleotides) under Salmo salar (Atlantic salmon). RNAcentral's name for it is "lncRNA (ENSSSAG00000114213.1)". Lineage: Eukaryota; Metazoa; Chordata; Actinopteri; Salmoniformes; Salmonidae. The record is from RNAcentral.
GGCAGGUAGCCUGGUGGUUAGAGGAGGCGGGUAGCCCGGUGGUUAGAGGAGGCGGGUAGCCCGGUGGUUAGAGGAGGCGGGUAGCCCAGUGGUUAGAGGAGGAGGCAGGUAGCCUAGUGGUUAGAGGAGGAGGCAGGUAGCCUAGUGGUUAGAGGAGGCAGGUAGCCUAGUGGUUAGAGGAGGCGGGUAGCCUAGUGGUUAGAGGAGGCGGGUAGCCUGGUGGUUAGAGGAGGCAGGUAGCCUAGUGGUUAGAGGAGGCAGGUAGCCUAGUGGUUAGAGGAGGCAGGUAGCCUAGUGGUUAGAGGAGGCAGGUAGCCUAGUGGUUAGAGUGUUGGCCUAGUAACUGAAAGGUUGCUAGAUUGAAUCCCCGAGCUGACAAGGUAAAAAUCUGUCGUUCUGCCCCUGAACAAGGUAGGCCGUCAUUAUAAAUAAUAAUUAGUUCUUAACUGACUUGCCUGGUUAACUAAAAAAAAAUAGCUCUGGUUAAAAUGGGAUGCCUGCUAUUUGCACUGCAUUUCUCUGGUCAAAAGAAGGGCACUAUGGGGUGCCUGGCAAAUUCAUCAACACAACAACAACGGAUAAGAUCUUCUGGUUGCAUAUCACCCAGCUAGAGUUCUCCUGGCUAACGAGACUCCACAUGCAGAAAUAUCAGUGGAAUUUAUCGAACUUGAACGAACAUAUUCUCUCGUCAGGUAAAUAUGUUUCCUAGGCCUUUACGUUUGGUUGGAAUGGGUUUUUUAAAUGCCCAAGCCGGUUCACUUUCCUGUUAGUGACAUAUAGGCUAUACUGUAUUUAUUAGUUAUGCCUUUAUUUAUUUAUUUAUUAUUAUAUAUAUAUUUAUUUUAAAUAAACGAAGUCAUACUUAAAAGGGAGAGAUAUCGUGCGCUUUUUUUCUCAUUAUGUUGACAGUCACGCGGGCGUGUAAUAAAGGAACGCGGAGUUAACAUGCGCUGUUAAUUUUUCAUUGCUUUUUUUUUCGUUUAGGGGGCUCACCCACCCAAAAAACCGAGAGAGAGAGACGAGAGGGGUAGAGAGAGAGAGAGAGAGAGAGAACUUGUCAUAAGUACAAAAUAAAGGAAAUGGGAAAAAGGAAUGAAUGGAACUAAAACCAAAACAACAAUUCUGCCUUCGAUGAUGUUCACGUCAUAAACACAUUUUAAAGAAGCACCUCUCCUCUCCUCUCCUCCCCUCUCCUCUACUCUCCUUCUCCCUCCCUCUCUCCCCCUCUCCUCUCCUCUCCUCCCCUCUCCUCUCC